GCCCUUGGAUGACACUUUUCGGAGCGUAAACUCCUUUUAUAUAGGAAGAUAAUGACGGUACUAUAUGAAUAAGCACCGGCUAACUCCGUGCCAGCAGCCGCGGUAAUACGGAGGGUGCAAGCGUUACUCGGAAUCACUGGGCGUAAAGAGCGUGUAGGCGGGUGAAUAAGUCAGAAGUGAAAUCCAAUAGCUCAACUAUUGAACUGCUUUUGAAACUGUAUACCUAGAAUGUGGGAGAGGCAGAUGGAAUUAAGGGC
RNAcentral lists this ribosomal RNA (257 nucleotides) under uncultured bacterium. RNAcentral's name for it is "partial 16S ribosomal RNA". It matches the Rfam family "Bacterial small subunit ribosomal RNA", at positions 397 to 674 of the family's 1533-position model. The record is from RNAcentral.